This 460-nucleotide ribosomal RNA is filed under the name uncultured bacterium. Its description in RNAcentral is "bacterial SSU rRNA". It matches the Rfam family "Bacterial small subunit ribosomal RNA", at positions 339 to 791 of the family's 1533-position model. The record is from RNAcentral.
CUACGGGAGGCAGCAGUGGGGAAUUUUGGACAAUGGGCGCAAGCCUGAUCCAGCCAUGCCGCGUGCGGGAAGAAGGCCUUCGGGUUGUAAACCGCUUUUGUCAGGGAAGAAAAGUUCUGGGUUAAUACCCUGGGAUGAUGACGGUACCUGAAGAAUAAGCACCGGCUAACUACGUGCCAGCAGCCGCGGUAAUACGUAGGGUGCAAGCGUUAAUCGGAAUUACUGGGCGUAAAGCGUGCGCAGGCGGUUAUGCAAGACAGAUGUGAAAUCCCCGGGCUCAACCUGGGAACUGCAUUUGUGACUGCAUAGCUAGAGUACGGUAGAGGGGGAUGGAAUUCCGCGUGUAGCAGUGAAAUGCGUAGAUAUGCGGAGGAACACCGAUGGCGAAGGCAAUCCCCUGGACCUGUACUGACGCUCAUGCACGAAAGCGUGGGGAGCAAACAGGAUUAGAUACCCUGGU